This 168-nucleotide non-coding RNA is filed under the name Ruminococcaceae bacterium D16. RNAcentral describes it as "Lysine riboswitch aptamer". It matches the Rfam family "Lysine riboswitch aptamer". From Rfam's summary of the family: Riboswitches are metabolite binding domains within certain messenger RNAs that serve as precision sensors for their corresponding targets. Lineage: Bacteria; Bacillati; Bacillota; Clostridia; Eubacteriales; Oscillospiraceae. The record is from Rfam by way of RNAcentral. RNAcentral also lists the same sequence under 1 other name.
AAAAGGGAUAGAGGCGCGGUUCUCAUGCGUACUCCGGGACAAGGCCAGGCAGCCGUUCCGGAGGAGAGGGUGAACCGCCGAAGGUCCCCACCGCCUGCCUGGGCGGCGGACCUGGGCCGCGGGAUAAGAUCCUGCGGACUGUCACUUUUGUGGAGCGCUAUCCAGAGG